This 425-nucleotide ribosomal RNA is filed under the name uncultured bacterium. RNAcentral's name for it is "bacterial SSU rRNA". It matches the Rfam family "Bacterial small subunit ribosomal RNA", at positions 360 to 776 of the family's 1533-position model. The record is from RNAcentral.
AAUAUUGCGCAAUGGGGGAAACCCUGACGCAGCGACGCCGCGUGGGUGAUGAAGGCCUUCGGGUCGUAAAGCCCUGUCGAGGGGGAAGAAGGACUGUCGCGCGAAUAGUGCGACGGUUUGACGGUACCCCUAAAGGAAGCACCGGCUAACUCCGUGCCAGCCGCCGCGGUAAUACGGAGGGUGCAAGCGUUGCUCGGAAUCACUGGGCGUAAAGGGCGUGUAGGCGGUUUCGUAUGUCUGACGUGAAAGCCCCGGGCUUACCCCGGGAAGUGCGUUGGAAACUGCGAGACUAGAGUCCCGGAGAGGAAGGUGGAAUUCCAGGUGUAGCGGUGAAAUGCGUAGAUAUCUGGAAGAACACCGGUGGCGAAGGCGGCCUUCUGGACGGUGACUGACGCUGAGACGCGAAAGCGUGGGGAGCAAACAGG